CAAUAGCGUAUAUUAAAGCUGUUGCGGUUAAAAAGCUCGUAGUUGGAUUUCUGUCAAGGACAACUGGUCCGCCCUCCGGGUGAGCACAUAGUUUGGUCUUGACAUCUUGCUGGAAGCUGUUGCUGCACUUGGCUGUGUGGCGCAGUGUUCAGCACUUUCACUUUGAGGAAAUUGGAGUGUUUCAAGCAGGCACAUGCCUUUGGACACAGUAGCAUGGAAUAAUUAGAUUGGGCUUUUGCUCCAAUUUGUCGGUUUCUGGAGCUGAGGUGAGAAUUAAUGGGGAUUGUUGGGGGCAUCCGAAUUUAGCCGUCAGAGGUGAAAUUCUUGGAUCUGCUAAAGACGGACAACUGCGAAAGCGUUUGCCCAGGAUGUUUUCAUUGA
This 381-nucleotide ribosomal RNA is filed under the name uncultured eukaryote. RNAcentral's name for it is "partial 18S ribosomal RNA". It matches the Rfam family "Eukaryotic small subunit ribosomal RNA", at positions 592 to 976 of the family's 1831-position model. The record is from RNAcentral.